UACGUAGGGGGCAAGCGUUGUCCGGAUUUAUUGGGCGUAAAGAGCGUGUAGGCGGUUUGGUAGGUCCGCUGUGAAAACUCGAGGCUCAACCUCGAGACGCCGGUGGAAACCAUCAGGCUAGAGUCCGGAAGAGGAGAGUGGAAUUCCUGGUGUAGCAGUGAAAUGCGUAGAUAUCAGGAGGAAUACCGAUGGCGAAGGCAGGUCUCUGGGCUGACACUGACGCUCAUGCACGAAAGCGUGGGGAGCAAACAGG
This 253-nucleotide ribosomal RNA is filed under the name uncultured bacterium. Its description in RNAcentral is "partial 16S ribosomal RNA". It matches the Rfam family "Bacterial small subunit ribosomal RNA", at positions 524 to 776 of the family's 1533-position model. The record is from RNAcentral.